Molecule: long non-coding RNA, 1596 nt
Organism: Falco peregrinus (peregrine falcon)
Lineage: Eukaryota; Metazoa; Chordata; Aves; Falconiformes; Falconidae
Exons: 3
Source: RefSeq, a predicted model, not a curated record
CGAGGGUUAACAGUCAGCAUGUGAUAUCGCAUCGCACAUAUUCCUUGCUCACACUUUAAUCUGUACUGGUGUGGGAAGCAGUAAGAUGCUAACACAUCCAUAAAGCGAUGCAUAAGGAAUUGCCAUCCCAGAGCAGACCUCAGCAUGUCUGUGUGACGAUGCCCAGUGCUUCAAUGGAAACACAGGUUUGCAAGGGCACAACAGAGGAGCCACAGGUCCCCUGGAGACCCCGCUGCUAUGCUUGGGACCGGGGCAGUAAAGAAGAGCACAUUCAGCAAAACUGUGGCGACAAUACCAUCUGGGUUUGGGCUAUUCCAGGGGGAGUGCAGAGGCUGCAAGCAGCCUUCUGGGGAUCCCUGAGCACUGGGGAUCACUGCGAGCCCUGGGGCACACAAACCAGAGCUGCUCAGGUCUCCUCUUGCCUGAGGUGGGCUGCAACACACCCACAUCUCUGACAUGUUAUUAAAAAACCAACACUGGCCCCAGAGGGCUCAGUGAAGCUGCUAGGUGAUUCGGCAUGAGCAUGAGCCAGGCUGUGUUUACUAGGGCUGGUGCUCAUUAGCCAGGUUCAUUAGCACUCCCUGGGUAGGUUUUAAAUAGCAAAGCGGGAGCUGCCCUCCAGGUCUGGGGCAGCCCUGGCUGCAGCUGGAGCACUUUUCCUUUUCCUUCCCUCCUGCUUUAGUUCUUCCUUCUCUCCUCACCGACUUCUGCAGGCUGCAACGUGUAGAGGUGGAGGCUUUGCUCCCGCUAUCAUAAAUCCCCUGGCAUUAGAAGUAGUGACCCAAACUCCUCUGAUCACCCCCAAGAAGGCUGUGUCUUCUGCAGCCCAUGGGCAGAGCUGGAGCUCUUUGCUGAGCCCUGGGGAAGCUCCCAGAGCCUUGACAGCUCCAUCCAUGGUUUGUUACCUUCCCAGUCUUCCUCCUCUCUUGCUCUCCCGCCGAGGUCAGCAUGCAGACUUGUCCCUGCUCUUGAUGGGGACCAGAGUUUGGGAAGGGGACUGGAGCCAGGGAAGGGGACAGCACUAACCUCUGCACCUGUACUCUGGGCUGCCCCAGCACCUUGGCUCCGCUUGGUGUCCCGAGACAGGGCACCUGGCCUCCCUGCCAUUGAUGUGGCUGUUUCCCUCCUGCUGUGCCCCAUCAUGAGGCCAUGUGGAUGGAAAAGGGAACUUCGCUGCAGCGUGGAUUCAUUUCAUCUCUCCCUAUUGCUCUUUCACCUCCUUGUCCUUCCUCAUUUCCCUCCCAGAGCUCUCCCCCUGUUUUCCCUUCCUCUCCGGCUUUCUCACCCCCAUUUCCCAUCGCCUCCUCUACACCCCUGUCCUCCCCCAUCUCGGCCCUGCAGCGGGUGAAGGGCUUCAGCCCACAGCACGAGCACCCACUCGACGCCGCGGCCUCUCAGCACCAGCAGCGGGUGCAGGACCACCGCAACCGCAGAUAAGCCGAGCAGGCUCUUUGCCCCCGGGGGAGAGAUGCAGGGGACGGGGCUGGCUGCUGCCCGACCCCUGCCGGCGGGGUGCAGCCCCCCGGGGCCGCACGGUGCCUGGCAGCCCCGGGGCUGGGGCCGCAGCCCGCCCGCCGCCGCCUCCCAGCCUGGAUU